AAAAAGAAGGGGGGCAUGGUCUUUCUACUGAUAAGUACACUUGCUCUUUGUUUACCCCCUUACACCAAAUUCAUGUCUAUCCUGAAAUCUUUGAAAUAUUAGACGCUCUUGACAUUUCAUACACGAUCUAUAGCUUUAUCUUUUGGUUUGAAAUAAAUCAAUGCAAAAGGUUGCGCAGAUGCUGCUUCAAAUUUUUAGUGUUCUUUUUGCAGCAUCCUGUAGAAGUUUGUAAAUUUCACCACAUGUAGACAGAAAUUUG
Molecule: long non-coding RNA, 259 nt
Filed under: Setaria italica (foxtail millet)
Lineage: Eukaryota; Viridiplantae; Streptophyta; Magnoliopsida; Poales; Poaceae
Description: long non-coding RNA (SITA_LNC004665)
Source: RNAcentral